GCCCAGGUGGCGAAAUUGGUAGACGCAGCAGAUUUAGGUUCUGCCGUCGAAAGACGUGGAGGUUCGAGUCCUCUUCUGGGCACCA
This 85-nucleotide transfer RNA is filed under the name Sterolibacterium sp. RNAcentral describes it as "tRNA-Leu". It matches the Rfam family "tRNA". Rfam says of the family: Transfer RNA (tRNA) molecules are approximately 80 nucleotides in length. Their secondary structure includes four short double-helical elements and three loops (D, anti-codon, and T loops). Lineage: Bacteria; Pseudomonadati; Pseudomonadota; Betaproteobacteria; Nitrosomonadales; Sterolibacteriaceae. The record is from RNAcentral.